This 207-nucleotide long non-coding RNA is filed under the name Mytilus galloprovincialis (Mediterranean mussel). The record is from RNAcentral. Lineage: Eukaryota; Metazoa; Mollusca; Bivalvia; Mytilida; Mytilidae.
UCUCGUUUAAAUACACUUUGCUUGUUAUUACAUAAAAUAAUUCAUGGAAAUUAUACACCAGACGUAUGUCGUGUUAAAUGUCACCCUGUUUUAAGAAAAGAAUAAUUACUUUAUGCCGAGAAAUCUGCCUUUCUUCGUACAAAUGCUAACAUUCGUCUGAAAUUUCCCACAAUGCAACUCGUUGAUAUAAGACAAUAUCGCUCGUUG